Molecule: ribosomal RNA, 454 nt
Filed under: Cotesia sp. MS-2004
Lineage: Eukaryota; Metazoa; Arthropoda; Insecta; Hymenoptera; Braconidae
Description: eukaryotic LSU rRNA
Source: RNAcentral
AACCUGUGAAACCCAAAAGAUCGAAUGAGGAGAUUCAUCGUCAGCUUAUUCAGUAUUAAUGCAGGCUAUGAUGUGAUAAUAGAAUCCUUGUGGUCACUAGAUUAUACUUGCUUGUAUUAUUUUUGCUGGGUAUGUCGGCGUGCACUUCUCCUCUAGUAGAACGUCGCAACCCGUUGGAUGUUUAUCUAUGGCUUGAAUGGUAGCCUUUGAUAUUUUUUAUAUUGAAGACCUUCGAUGUCCUGAUAAACUGUUUGACGGUAUACAUAUGGUAUUGAGCCGCAAUUAUUUGCGUUAGACUUACCGCANGUAUGGCUUUAUUNUAGNAGUGCGGAUCUAAUGCCGNCGCUGGACAAANNCUGCUGUUAGCUGGNAAUGUCUUUAACUGGCUUAUUUACCGGUUAGCGAUGCUACUGCUUUGGGUACUUACAGGACCCGUCUUGAAACACGGACCAAA